ACACGACUGACGCUCAUGCACGAAAGCGUGGGUAUCGAACAGGAUUAGAUACCCUGGUAGUCCACGCGGUAAACGAUGAUAACUAGUUAUUCGGCGCGAGUGAGCGCUGAGUGACCGAGCGAAAGCGUUAAGUUAUCCACCUGGGGAGUACGCCGGCAACGGUGAAACUCAAAGGAAUUGACGGGGGCCCGCACAAGCGGAGGAACAUGUGGUUUAAUUCGAUGAUACGCGAGGAACCUUACCCGGGCUCAAACGCAGCGCGACAGACCCUGAAAGGGGUUUUUCUUCGGACGCGCUGCGAGGUGCUGCAUGGUUGUCGUCAGCUCGUGCCGUGAGGUGUCGGCUUAAGUGCCAUAACGAGCGCAACCCCCAUCUUCAGUUGCCCCCGGGUAAAGCCGGGCACUCUGGAGAGACUGCCGGCGCAAGCUGUGAGGAAGGCGGGGAUGACGUCAAAUCAGCACGGCCCUUACGUCCGGGGCGACACACGUGUUACAAUGGCGGGGCAACAGAGGGAAGCCAGGCGGCGACGCCGAGCGGAUCCUGAAAACCCGUCUCAGUUCGGAUCGGAGUCUGCAACCCGACUCCGUGAAGCUGGAUUCGC
RNAcentral lists this ribosomal RNA (601 nucleotides) under uncultured bacterium. RNAcentral describes it as "bacterial SSU rRNA". It matches the Rfam family "Bacterial small subunit ribosomal RNA", at positions 734 to 1335 of the family's 1533-position model. The record is from RNAcentral.